Molecule: small nucleolar RNA, 86 nt
Organism: Chelydra serpentina (North American snapping turtle)
Lineage: Eukaryota; Metazoa; Chordata; Testudines; Chelydridae
Source: Ensembl
UCUGGUGAUGAUGACACACUUGCCCUCACUGAGAACGCUGUUCAAUAAUGAGAACCUCACCAUGUACUCAGAGGAGCUGAGCCAGA